GAGGGUAUAAAUCAGUGGUAGAGUGCAUGCUUAGCAUGCAUGAGGUCCUGGGGUUCAACCCCCAGUAACUCCA
This 73-nucleotide transfer RNA is filed under the name Camelus bactrianus (Bactrian camel). It matches the Rfam family "tRNA". Rfam says of the family: Transfer RNA (tRNA) molecules are approximately 80 nucleotides in length. RNAcentral also lists the same sequence under 2 other names. Lineage: Eukaryota; Metazoa; Chordata; Mammalia; Artiodactyla; Camelidae. The record is from Rfam by way of RNAcentral.